Molecule: long non-coding RNA, 785 nt
Organism: Oncorhynchus tshawytscha (Chinook salmon)
Lineage: Eukaryota; Metazoa; Chordata; Actinopteri; Salmoniformes; Salmonidae
Source: Ensembl
GGAAUGUGUUGGUGGAUGUGAUGGGAGCUGAGGACUCUUAGCUGAGUUAACAAGAAUGUAAAGCCAGCCACCAAACGUCCCUGGAGAACAGGAGGUGAAAGCCCAGUGAACCACACAAGGCGAACCCAGCCAGACCCAGCCAGACCAAGCCAGACCCAGCCAGACCAAGCCAGACCCAGCCAAACAGAGCCAGACCAAGCCAGACCAAGCCAAGCCAGACCAAACCAAGCCAGACCCAACCAGACCAAGCAAUGGAAAAAAAUUAAGAGGUCAUACAGUAACUGUUACAGAGGAACACCAACACAGACAUCAGGCAGCUACAGGGGCAGGUAGAGACUAGCCAUCACAUGGCUACAGGGGCAGGUAGAGACUAGCCAUCACAUGGCUACAGGGGCAGGUAGAGACUAGCCAUCACAUGGCUACAGGGGCAGGUAGAGACCAGCCAUGACAUGGCUACAGGGGCAGGUAGAGACUAGCCAUCACAUGGCUACAGGGGCAGGUAGAGACUAGCCAUCACAUGGCUACAGGGGCAGGUAUAGACUAGCCAUGACAUGGCUACAGGGGCAGGUAGAGACUAGCCAUCACAUGGCUACAGGGGCAGGUAGAGACUAGCCAUCACAUGGCUACAGGGGCAGGUAGAGACAAGCCAUCACAUGGCUACAGGGGCAGGUAGAGACUAGCCAUCACAUGGCUACAGGGGCAGGUAGAGACUAGCCAUCACAUGGCUACAGGGGCAGGUAGAGACUAGCCAUCAGACAGCUACAGGGACAGGUAGAGACUAGACA